Molecule: unclassified non-coding RNA, 358 nt
Filed under: Xenopsylla cheopis (oriental rat flea)
Lineage: Eukaryota; Metazoa; Arthropoda; Insecta; Siphonaptera; Pulicidae
Description: sequence contains ITS2
Source: RNAcentral
UAUAUCAUAACAAGACUGUCGCUUGCCCUCCGGCUCGUCGACGAAUGAUGGUGUUUCGCGUAAAUGCGUGCUACCUAAAUGAUAUACACUCAACGUGUGAACCAGCCCGGUGCGCAUUCAACGGCAAUUCGAUAUAUUUUAUAUAUCGACUGUCGGAUAGCGUUCUGUGGGAUUACGGUGGGUUGUGUGUCCUAGAGAUAUUAUCAUAUCGAUUUUGCGACCCGACUCCGAUACAACCGGAAACCACGAAACGAUAUUCGCGAAUUUUGUCGGCGCACUCGGACGACUCGAAGGUUCCUCGUUCGUUAUGAGCUCCUAUAAUGUCGCAUGCCGACGUUUAGAAGUUUUAACGUAAACA